CCCUCCAUGGUAGAUCGGCAUUACAGUAAACUUCGAAUUUAUCAAGCUCGGUUCGACUCCGAAUCCUUAGA
Molecule: transfer RNA, 71 nt
Filed under: Clathrina clathrus
Lineage: Eukaryota; Metazoa; Porifera; Calcarea; Clathrinida; Clathrinidae
Description: tRNA-Gly
Source: RNAcentral